GACGAACGCUGGCGGCGUGCCUAACACAUGCAAGUCGAACGGAAAGGCCUCUUUCGGGGGGUACUCGAGUGGCGAACGGGUGAGUAACACGUGAGUAACCUGCCCUUGACUUUGGGAUAACUUCAGGAAACUGGGGCUAAUACCGGAUAGGAGCUCCUGCUGCAUGGUGGGGGUUGGAAAGUUUCGGCGGUUGGGGAUGGACUCGCGGCUUAUCAGCUUGUUGGUGGGGUAGUGGCUUACCAAGGCUUUGACGGGUAGCCGGCCUGAGAGGGUGACCGGCCACAUUGGGACUGAGAUACGGCCCAGACUCCUACGGGAGGCAGCAGUGGGGAAUAUUGCACAAUGGGUGGAAGCCGGAUGCAGCAACGCCGUGUGCGGGAUGACGGCCUUCGGGUUGUAAACCGCUUUCGCUCAUGACGAAGCUUUGUGUGACGGUAGUGGGUAAAGAAGCACCGGCUAACUACGUG
Molecule: ribosomal RNA, 467 nt
Filed under: uncultured bacterium
Lineage: Bacteria
Description: partial 16S ribosomal RNA
Rfam family: Bacterial small subunit ribosomal RNA
Source: RNAcentral